RNAcentral lists this ribosomal RNA (487 nucleotides) under uncultured bacterium. Its description in RNAcentral is "bacterial SSU rRNA". It matches the Rfam family "Bacterial small subunit ribosomal RNA", at positions 29 to 512 of the family's 1533-position model. The record is from RNAcentral.
AAUAAACGUUGGCGGCGUGCCUAACACAUGCAAGUCGAACGAGAAAGUUCCUUCGGGAACAAGUACAGUGGCGAACGGUUGAGUAACACGUGAGAAUCUCCCCUUUAGUGAAGAAUACCUUCGAGAAAUCGAAGUUAAUGCUGCAUAUAUCUCGAAAGAGAGAAAGAUGGCCUCUUUGCUGUCGCUAAAGGAUGAGCUUGCGGCCUAUCAGCUAGUUGGUGAGGUAAUGGCUCACCAAGGCGACGACGGGUAGCCGGCCUGAGAGGGCGAUCGGCCAGACUGGAACUUAGACACGGUCCAGACUCCUACGGGAGGCAGCAGUGGGGAAUAUUGCGCAAUGGGCGAAAGCCUGACGCAGCGACGCCGCGUGAAGGAUGAAGGUCUUCGGAUUGUAAACUUCCGUUAAGUGGGAAGAAAUGUCCAUGAGUAAUAUGCAUGGAAGAUGACGGUACCAUUAGAGAAAGCAACCGGCUAAUCUCGUGCCAGC